RNAcentral lists this ribosomal RNA (803 nucleotides) under Escherichia coli. RNAcentral describes it as "partial 23S ribosomal RNA". It matches the Rfam family "Bacterial large subunit ribosomal RNA", at positions 612 to 1414 of the family's 2925-position model. Lineage: Bacteria; Pseudomonadati; Pseudomonadota; Gammaproteobacteria; Enterobacterales; Enterobacteriaceae. The record is from RNAcentral.
AUAAUGGGUCAGCGACUUAUAUUCUGUAGCAAGGUUAACCGAAUAGGGGAGCCGAAGGGAAACCGAGUCUUAACUGGGCGUUAAGUUGCAGGGUAUAGACCCGAAACCCGGUGAUCUAGCCAUGGGCAGGUUGAAGGUUGGGUAACACUAACUGGAGGACCGAACCGACUAAUGUUGAAAAAUUAGCGGAUGACUUGUGGCUGGGGGUGAAAGGCCAAUCAAACCGGGAGAUAGCUGGUUCUCCCCGAAAGCUAUUUAGGUAGCGCCUCGUGAAUUCAUCUCCGGGGGUAGAGCACUGUUUCGGCAAGGGGGUCAUCCCGACUUACCAACCCGAUGCAAACUGCGAAUACCGGAGAAUGUUAUCACGGGAGACACACGGCGGGUGCUAACGUCCGUCGUGAAGAGGGAAACAACCCAGACCGCCAGCUAAGGUCCCAAAGUCAUGGUUAAGUGGGAAACGAUGUGGGAAGGCCCAGACAGCCAGGAUGUUGGCUUAGAAGCAGCCAUCAUUUAAAGAAAGCGUAAUAGCUCACUGGUCGAGUCGGCCUGCGCGGAAGAUGUAACGGGGCUAAACCAUGCACCGAAGCUGCGGCAGCGACGCUGAUGCGUUGUUGGGUAGGGGAGCGUUCUGUAAGCCUGCGAAGGUGUGCUGUGAGGCAUGCUGGAGGUAUCAGAAGUGCGAAUGCUGACAUAAGUAACGAUAAAGCGGGUGAAAAGCCCGCUCGCCGGAAGACCAAGGGUUCCUGUCCAACGUUAAUCGGGGCAGGGUGAGUCGACCCCUAAGGCGAGGCCGAAAGGCGUAG